Molecule: ribosomal RNA, 456 nt
Filed under: uncultured Gammaproteobacteria bacterium
Lineage: Bacteria; Pseudomonadati; Pseudomonadota; Gammaproteobacteria
Description: bacterial SSU rRNA
Rfam family: Bacterial small subunit ribosomal RNA
Source: RNAcentral
GAGAGUGGGUAGUCCGCACGAGCGCACCCUGUCCUUUGUUGCCAGCACGUAAUGGUGGGAACUCAGGGGAGACUGCCGGUGAUAAACCGGAGGAAGGUGGGGAUGACGUCAAGUCAUCAUGGCCCUUACGGCCAGGGCUACACACGUCCUACAAUGGCGCGUACAGAGGGCUGCAAGCUAGCGAUAGUGAGCGAAUCCCAAAAAGCGCGUCGUAGUCCGGAUCGGAGUCUGCAACUCGACUCCGUGAAGUCGGAAUCGCUAGUAAUCGCGAAUCAGAAUGUCGCGGUGAAUACGUUCCCGGGCCUUGUACACACCGCCCGUCACACCAUGGGAGUGGGUUGCACCAGAAGUAGAUAGCUUAACCUUCGGAAGGGCGUUUACCACGGUGUGAUUCAUGACUGGGGUGAAGUCGUAACAAGGUAACCCUAGGGGAACCUGGGGUUGGAUCACCUCCUU